This 497-nucleotide ribosomal RNA is filed under the name uncultured bacterium. RNAcentral's name for it is "partial 16S ribosomal RNA". It matches the Rfam family "Bacterial small subunit ribosomal RNA", at positions 28 to 507 of the family's 1533-position model. The record is from RNAcentral.
GACGAACGCUGGCGGCGUGCCUAAUACAUGCAAGUUGAGCGGUGAAGAUUGGUGCUUGCACCAAUUUGAAGAGCAGCGAACGGGUGAGUAACGCGUGGGGAAUCUGCCUUUGAGCGGGGGACAACAUUUGGAAACGAAUGCUAAUACCGCAUAACAACUUUAAACAUAAGUUUUAAGUUUGAAAGAUGCAAUUGCAUCACUCAAAGAUGAUCCCGCGUUGUAUUAGCUAGUUGGUGAGGUAAAGGCUCACCAAGGCGAUGAUACAUAGCCGACCUGAGAGGGUGAUCGGCCACAUUGGGACUGAGACACGGCCCAAACUCCUACGGGAGGCAGCAGUAGGGAAUCUUCGGCAAUGGACGAAAGUCUGACCGAGCAACGCCGCGUGAGUGAAGAAGGGUUUCGGAUCGUAAAACUCUGUUGGUAGAGAAGAACGUUGGUGAGAGUGGAAAGCUCAUCAAGUGACGGUAACUACCCAGAAAGGGACGGCUAACUACGUG